Artibeus jamaicensis (Jamaican fruit-eating bat) is the source of this 123-nucleotide small nucleolar RNA. RefSeq annotates it as small nucleolar RNA SNORA25. The transcript has a single exon. The record is from RefSeq and is a predicted model, not a curated record. Lineage: Eukaryota; Metazoa; Chordata; Mammalia; Chiroptera; Phyllostomidae.
AGGUCAUUUUAAAGAGAGCUUAUGGGACCAAAACCAGGAACUCUUAAUGCUGUGACCUAAGAUUGAAGUUCUCCAUAAGAUGUAAUAGACAAUAGUGCUGUGUUUUCCUAAGAAGAUAUACAA